GGUGGAUUAUAUUCAAAAGCCUGGCUUCCAUUUUGAUCACCUUGUGUUCUUUCGUUUUUUGUCUUUUUCCUUGUCUAAUCAGUGCAGCGUCUUACUGCACAUACAGCAGUUACUCGCUCCGAUAUUACUGUUACUAUUAUUACUAUGACUACACCGUUGGUUCCAGUGGUGGUGUAAUUGCCGGGGCUGUAAUUGGGGGAGUCGUUGGAAUGGUGAUCAUCGUCACGAUCAUAACAUGCGUUGUUGUACACUGUUGUAAAAAGAAAAACCACGGGCAAGUCAACGUACAACCAACAGGUUAUUCGGCAAGUUAGACAAAUGCAUAUCACAACCCUUAUGGCGGAUAUGGAGCCGGACCUUAUGUGACAACAUCGACAAUCAACUACGGAGGGCAUCCAUCCGCUCCCCCACCCCCGCCCCCUGCCUACCCUCCCCAACCCCCGCAGUAUCAACCCCCUCCGGCAUUCCACCCCAGCGAACCACCCUCAUCUGCCCGGGAUAGCAAUUCCAAAAUGUAAUCAUAUACCGGUGUUGUCUAUAGAACGACGACAGACUUCGUCAAUAUCAUUUUUAUUGUACAAAAGUCUGGCUUUGACAUGUGAUAUUCUGUUCUUUCAUUUUUAGCCGGGAUUAUUGCUCAAAGAGCAAUUGCCGGCUUAUGUCAUCCUGUUCAAGGCAGGAAGUUGACCCCAUAGUCGCCAUUUUAAAGUUACGUGCAAAAAUAUAGUUCUUACUCUCAACCGCUUUUGAGAUAAUACAAACGCUAAAGAAAGCAACAGAAAUAAAACGAAGUUUAAUCUAUAUAAAUAAACAUUAGUAGUAAUGACUUUGAAAACUUCAGUCCUAAGUCAAAGAACAUAGUUCAUUAGCGUAAGGAUUUUUGAUAACCAGUGUUAUCGUAGUUCUCUACACAUACGAGGUAAAGCAGGAGAGGGAACCAGACUGACCUGUUUGUUUACAUACAGCUGCGGUACCAGAUUAAUUCUGAUUCUGACAAAAUCGACCGUGGUAUUAGGAUUGAAAAA
Saccostrea cuccullata (small rock oyster) is the source of this 1025-nucleotide long non-coding RNA. RefSeq lists it as uncharacterized. The transcript is spliced from 4 exons. Lineage: Eukaryota; Metazoa; Mollusca; Bivalvia; Ostreida; Ostreidae. The record is from RefSeq and is a predicted model, not a curated record.